This 254-nucleotide ribosomal RNA is filed under the name uncultured bacterium. Its description in RNAcentral is "partial 16S ribosomal RNA". It matches the Rfam family "Bacterial small subunit ribosomal RNA", at positions 524 to 776 of the family's 1533-position model. The record is from RNAcentral.
GACGUAGGGUGCAAGCGUUGUCCGGAUUUACUGGGCGUAAAGAGCGCGUAGGCGGUCUGUUAAGUGCACGAGUGAAAUCCCGGGGCUCACCUCCGGAACUGCUCUGCAUACUGGCAGACUUGAGGGUCGAAGAGGUUUGUGGAAUUCCUGGUGUAGCGGUGAAAUGCGUUGAUAUCAGGAGGAACACCCAUGGCGAAGGCAGCAAACUGGUCGGCAUCUGACGCUGAGGCGCGAAAGCGUGGGUAGCAAACAGG